This 468-nucleotide ribosomal RNA is filed under the name uncultured bacterium. RNAcentral's name for it is "partial 16S ribosomal RNA". It matches the Rfam family "Bacterial small subunit ribosomal RNA", at positions 28 to 507 of the family's 1533-position model. The record is from RNAcentral.
GACGAACGCUGGCGGCGUGCUUAACACAUGCAAGUCGAACGGAAAGUCCCUGCUUUUGUUGGGUGCUCGAGUGGCGAACGGGUGAGUAACACGUGAGUAACCUUCCCUUGACUUUGUGAUAACUUCAGGAAACUGGUGCUAAUACCGGAUAGGAGCUCCUGCUGCAUGGUGGGGGUUGGAAAGUUUCGGCGGUUGGGGAUGGACUCCCGGCUUAUCAGCUUGUUGGUGGGGUAGUGGCUUACCAAGGCUUUGACGGGUAGCCGGCCUGGGAGGGUGACCGGCCACAUUGGGCCUGAGAUACGGGCCAGAGUGCUACGGGAGGAAGCAGUGGGGAAUAUUGCACAAUGGGCGGAAGCCUGAUGCAGCAACGCCGCGUGCGGGAUGACGGCCUUCGGGUUGUAAACCGCUUUCGCCUGUGGCGAAGCGUGAGUGACGGUAAUGGGUAAAGAAGCACCGGCUAACUACGUG